UACGAAGGGGGCGAGCGUUGUUCGGAUUUACUGGGCGUAAAGGGCGCGCAGGCGGCUCAUUUUGUCAGGCGUGAAAGCCCCGGGCUUAACCUGGGAACUGCGUUUGAUGCGGAUGGGCUAGAGUUCGGGAGAGGAGAGUGGAAUUCCCAGUGUAGUGGUGAAAUGCGUAGAGAUCCGGAGGAACACCAGUGGCGAAGGCGACACGCUGGGCCGUACCUGACACUGAUGCGCGACAGCAUGGGGAGCAAACAGG
This 253-nucleotide ribosomal RNA is filed under the name uncultured bacterium. Its description in RNAcentral is "partial 16S ribosomal RNA". It matches the Rfam family "Bacterial small subunit ribosomal RNA", at positions 524 to 776 of the family's 1533-position model. The record is from RNAcentral.